Polyodon spathula (Mississippi paddlefish) is the source of this 1877-nucleotide RNA transcript. It is a transcript of the gene named cilia- and flagella-associated protein 221-like, with no coding region annotated. The transcript is spliced from 6 exons. The record is from RefSeq and is a predicted model, not a curated record. Lineage: Eukaryota; Metazoa; Chordata; Actinopteri; Acipenseriformes; Polyodontidae.
UUAACUGUGUAAAUAAUGUUAAUUAAUGUACAUUUCAGUCUUUUUGAAUAUUGUUUCAGUUCAAUUUCCUAGAUCUUGUUACAUUGUCAGAUGAACAACAGGCUGCUUUCGUUAAACGAUCUAGUUCAAAGUAUUAAAAGACAGACCAGUAAAACAACAGUAGCAGGUAAGCAAGGAAUGUUUCAACCAAAGAAUUAUUCAAUUAAUAAGAAGUGAUACAGACGCAAAACAUUUUAUUUUCUAAUAUGUUGAUUCUCCAUUAACAUUUAGAAUGUUAUUUUUAAAAAAAGAUAUAAAUAAAAUACAGACGUCUAACAAAAACUGUAUUUGCAUUCAUCAGAGGACAGCUUUUCCAGUAUGGUCUUUCCAGAUGUUGGUGUCGAAGAUAAGCCAUUCCUUAUGAAACUGUCAUUGGAAAACAUGCUUCCUUUCACCUUUCCCAUCUACACACCUCCUAACCAGACUGAUGAACUUGCUCCUCACGCAUUGGGACCUGUACCUGUCAAACCAACUGAAGUAAAAUUUAAACCAGUAGUCCCAUUCUACAAUUUAAAGGUUCCCCAGCACUUCAAACUGAUGGGAUAUCAAACAAAGUCAGCCCUUGAUGCAUCAACCAGUUGUGUUCCCCAAACACUGUCUCGGCUUCUUAGGUCAGGUGCUGAGGAUGAGCUGAUCCCAGCAGCGACCUUGCCUUCUUCUGCAACCCAGUUAGCUGACCUAGAGGAAGAGCAGAUCCUGGAAUGGGAGAAAAACGCUUCUGCUGCUCUAUCAUUAACCCCACCUGAAGCUCUACUGAGAUCCCCUGAGUGCCAUCUUCUAAAGAUUUUCAUAAAACCCUGCUCCUGGUCUUUAUGCAUUUAAGCAGCCCCUCUCCUACUUAGAAACUGACCUUGAAUUUCACCUGUGCCCAGUCCCAAGAUACACUGUCAUCAAGGAUGCUGCAGCAAGGGCUAAUGUUCCCAGCACACAGAAGAAAUUUCUUGAUCAAGAGGAGGUGAUUUGCGGUGUAAUGGCGUGGAAGAAGUUUCCGUUGGCAUCUCUUGCUGCUUUGUCUCUAACUGCAACCUUGAGCAGCUCAUGGACACCUCAAGAGUAAGCAUGCUGGAAUUCAGUCUUCACUGACUUGCCCCUUGAUGAUUGAUCUUGUUUAAUUAUGGAAGCUUUCAUUGAGCCAGUUACUCAGUACAAAUGCAUGUACUUUGAUUACGCUUCUAGUAGUUAGCCACACAUCAGCCUUUGUUGUGCUCCACUGUAGUUUGAUAAAUGUGACGUUCCGCACAUAAUAUACUGUUAGCAUUUCUUUCUGCUGUGUUAACUGAAUGGAGGUAAGUGCUGAAGACAGAUAAUCAAUUCAAAUGGAACCUUGGCUAAUUAUACUUGUUCUUUUUCAAAGCUAACACUUUUCAAGUUCAGGCUUGUGAUUAUACAAUUAAGAAGUCACUGUCAAAACAAGGGUCAUUUUUUUACAUACACAUACAAAUAAAAAUCUAGAAGGUAUAGCAGGACAAGAUACACAGAUUCCAAUGCAACCUAUACAUUACUCAACCCCAAAGCUGUAUUUUGUCUAAAACUCUUUUAACUGUUUUAUUACCGCCUUUUAGUUGAUGUCCAUCAUUUCACUAUGUUAUGACUAUGAAGUAAACACAUAGGAUUCUCUCCAGUUGAUAAUGAUUUAUUGGGACAAGGUGUUGAUUUUAAUUUUUGAUUUUUUUUUUAUAUAUACUUUAGAUCAGACCCUUUUGGCACAGAUUUACUUCCUACUGCAGUCCCUCCAGCACUGGAUGGCUUAGCAGAAGACAUCGAAGAAGAUGUAUUGGAGGCUGUGGCAAAGUGGUUGGUAAGGGGAACAGAUGUCGCGGUGAUGCGGUGCAGGAGUG